AUGGACAUGGGGUCCCAGGCUCACCUCCUCUUUUUCCUGUUGCUCUGGAUCCCAGGAGAGAAAGUGACCAUGUCCUGCAAGGCCAGUCAGAGCAUUGGCACCAGCCUACACUGGUACCAACAGGAACCAGGCCAGGCUCCUAGGCUCCUCAUUACAUAUGCUUCCACCCUGCACGAUGGGGUCCCCUCAAGGUUCAGUGGCAGUGGCUCUGGGACAGAUUUCUCCCUCACAAUCAGCAGUGUGGAGGCUGAGGAUGCUGCAGUCUAUUACUGUCACCAGAGCUAUAGCUGGCCUCUCACAGUGCUACAGCUCUGA
Molecule: non-coding RNA, 315 nt
Organism: Phascolarctos cinereus (koala)
Lineage: Eukaryota; Metazoa; Chordata; Mammalia; Diprotodontia; Phascolarctidae
Source: the annotation of a RefSeq genome assembly